Papaver somniferum (opium poppy) is the source of this 944-nucleotide long non-coding RNA. RefSeq lists it as uncharacterized. The transcript has 2 exons. NCBI's taxonomy places the organism in Eukaryota, Viridiplantae, Streptophyta, Magnoliopsida, Ranunculales, Papaveraceae. The record is from RefSeq and is a predicted model, not a curated record.
UUGUUUCUUUUGGUAAUCUCUUCUCUUUUCGAUGGUGAAGUCAGACUUCUUCAAAUGGUAGUCUUAUUCAAUUCUGGACCUUGGUAAUUGGUCUCCAUUACCCUAUAUAUUUCUUCCACGUCCGAUUGUUCUUAGCAUCAAAAAUGAAUAGCAUUGAAUGUUAACAUUUUAAAUUUCUGAACUGGAUGUUGUAGUAUAUAACGGUGGCAUGUGCUUUACAUUUUUCAUGAAUAGUGGCAAAGUUAACGUUCUGUUUAAUGAAGAUUUGAAAAUAUUAUCGGGUUUAAUAUUUGUGCAUUUGGUUUCUUUUUAUAGGUUUAUUGGGUUUGUGUGGGCGAGUUGGAUGCAGGGAAAUAUUGGAUUAGUUGCAUAAGACAAUAUGAAUUUGGUGUUCUAAAAGUUUUUGGUGUUACUGCUUCUGUGCUCAAAAUGAGGUCUGUGUUUUUAUAUAUUCGUGGAAGUUCUUGUUCUAGAUGAUAAGAAGCUGGGAUGUCAACUUGUCGUUAGAGAAGAUUUGAUUGGCCAAUCUGCAAAUGAUGCUGCUAAGGCUGAGAUGGUUCUAUUAUUUCUGCCUCAAAACAUCUAUUCUAUAUCUAUGUUACUCGUAUGAUUUUGAUUUUAUCAUCUCUUCAUUGAUGACUUCGUACCCAGAGGAAAAGGUUUUCCCUUUUCUAUCUUCAAAGUUUAAGUCUCAGGUCCCAUUGGUAACUAUGAGUGAUUUUCGGAUUUCCAAAGUCUACUAGUAAUUUUCAAGUUUCUACUCAGUAUCAUCUUCUAUGGUUCUUCUUCUUAUUAUACAGUAUUUUUUGUUUUCUUUUCUUUAAUUUUAUCAUUAUAUUUUUGCGGAUAGGGAAACAUAUAAGCCAGAUUAUCAUCAACUUAUAUUCUUAUAUAACAGUUCAGUGCUCUUGGCAUUUAUGAGUGAUAUAAAGUUAUGUUGCUUA